RNAcentral lists this long non-coding RNA (2421 nucleotides) under Homo sapiens (human). RNAcentral's name for it is "HSALNT0132681". The record is from RNAcentral. Lineage: Eukaryota; Metazoa; Chordata; Mammalia; Primates; Hominidae.
CACCACUCAGAGGAGCACAGCAGGAUUAGCCCCACACAGGUGAAAAGAAAGUGAAUGGUUCUUUCUGUGAGCAGAUUUUCUUUCUAAAACAAUGCCUCCUGCAGCUAAAGGAGGAAAAGAGGAAACCAACAAUACCAACAGCUAGGGGAAGAGAUAGGUGAGGUCUCUGUUUUCUGAUGAGGAAGCUAAGCCUUGGAAGCCAGGCUUCAAACCUAGCGGGGGCAUAAUGAUCUUUCCAGUGUACAUUUUUGCUUUUGCAAAUUAGAAGAGUUAUUAAGUUUAUGAGUCAGUAUCAUGAAGAUCAAGAUGAUAUCUAAAAGGUUACUGGCAUGCAGUUUCCAUAAUAUUGCUAGAAGACAAGACUGAAUCAUAGCCUCCCAGGAACAGAAGAAACCUCAAAAGUUAUCGAGGCUGUUGUUUGGCAGCAACUGGAGCUACGUCCAAGCUGAUACUUCUAAAGCUGCUGUGCUCAUAACUAGGGAAGCAGAAGAGGAGAUCGUCCUCCUGCCCUGGCAACCAGGGAUGAUGGCACGUGCCUAGGCUCAAGCAUGGCAAUUCUCCCAUCCAGAACUUGGAAUCUUCGGGGUAUGUCACAAAGACCCAGGGUCAGUUUGCAAAUUAUUCCCAGAAGUUGUGGCAGCAUCAAGAGUCAGGCAGGGGCAGCAGCCCACGUUCAGCUGGAAUUCUGUGGCUUAACCCAGGGGUUUUCUAUGUGUCAUGAGAGAUAACACAACACUCUCACCAACGAAGUUGAAUAAAUUAUAUUUAGGACUCACAAGCUGAUCAUGAUUCUUGGCUAUGCAAACCUGAGGCUGAUGCAUCCUCCAGCAGCUGACCACGGACAUGUGCAGCAUCACAGUGACAGAUGGCAUUUCAACCACUUGGUUUACACCUUCCUCCACUGUCACCACCAUUCUGACAGAAAUGAGUUCCAUUUGCUCCAUUUUACAUAAGGGCAAAAGGCAGCAUUGACUCACCAAGUUUACACAGUUAGGGAAAAGAGCAACCAGGUCAGGAUCAGAUACAACAAAGAAGUGAUUGCAGAUGUUAAAUGGAACAUAGCUCUGGUCGUUUGAUAAAUAUUCAGUAAUUUCUUCAGUUUGUUAAGAAAAAUUAUCCAAAAUUUACAAUUACAGAGGAAGCAAAAUUUUACCUGUACCCUAUUUUUUUUUUUCUGGGGCUAAGAAUUAAAUUGACUUAAGACAGACAUAAGACAGAUCAACAGCAGAAGAACAAAUUUACUUAAUACAAGUUUUACAUGGCAGGAGAGACUACAUAAGGAAAUGCAGACCCAAAGGCACAGUUAGAUUGAACACUUACAUACAGAAUUAAAGAGUCAUGAAUUGUGAAAAUGUCACAAGGCCAAGAAGCUUGGGCUGAGUGGUUAAUUGAGUGAAAAAGUGGCUCGGAAGGUAAGUUUAGUCUAACAAGGUUUGUUUGUACAAAUUUCCCUUGGCCUCAACUUCCUAUCCUUGAUGAUAAGAGUGAUGCUUUCCUUCUGCUAUAGGGAAGGGAUCUUUCACAAGCGAAUUUCAUCUCCUACUUGUAAGAAACAGAAAGUCAGAGUGACCCUCUCACACCUGUUGUUUUUCAGGUGCCCUAAACUCAAAAUAGUCAAUAUGUCAGAGCGGCCUAUUUUGGGGUGGUGUGUAACCCCUGAAAACGUAGAGUUGUCCUCUCAAUGGUAUAUUAAGGCAUCAUUUAAAGGUUAUUUCAUUAUUUAGGAAAGCAGUUUUCAAACUUUGCUUCAUAAUUGGAAACACCUGGGAUGUUCGAAAACUAUGGCUGCCUGGCUCCCACCCCUAGACAUCCUGAUUUAAUGGUGGGGGGUGAUGUGAUAGGCUAAACAAUAACCUCCCAAAGAUGCCCACCACCUAAUCCUUAGACCCUAUGAAUAUGUUCCCUUACAUGUAAGAGACUUUGCAGAUAUGAUUAAGUUAAGGCUCUGUAGAUGGGGAAAAUAUCCUGGAUUAUCUGAAUACGCCCAAGGUCAUCACAAUGGUGAUUACCAAAAGAAGGCUGGAGGGUCAGAGUCAGAGAGAUAAGGCUUAAAGAUGGAGGCAGAGGUCAGAGAAGACCCUGUGCUGUUGCCUCACACGGUGAGGAAGGGGCCACAAGCCAAGAAAUGCAUGCAGCCUUUAGAAGGUAAAAAAGGCAAGGAAUGGAUUCUCCUCUAGAGCCUCUAGAAGGAAGCAGCUCUUUGGACCAAUUUUCAACUCUGACCUCCAGAACUGUAAGAGAAUAAAGCUGGAUUGCAUUAAGCCACGAUGUUUGUGGUAGUUUGUAACAGCAGCAAUAAAAAACUAAUACAUGUGGGAUCUCGGGUGUCACGAUCAAAAAAAAAUUUCUCCAAGUGAUUUUAACAUGCAGAAAAGUUUGAGAACCCAUCAAUCUAAGGAAAGGUACUUGUGUUUGACUCUG